Molecule: ribosomal RNA, 418 nt
Filed under: uncultured eukaryote
Lineage: Eukaryota
Description: SSU rRNA
Rfam family: Eukaryotic small subunit ribosomal RNA
Source: RNAcentral
CCAGCAGCUGCGGUAAUUCCAGCUCCAAUAGCGUAUAUUUAAGUUGCUGCAGUUAAAAAGCUCGUAGUUGGAUUUCGGGUGGGCCCCGCCGGUCCGCCGUUUCGGUGUGCACUUGCGGGUCCCAUCUUGCUGCCGGGGACGGGUUCCUGGGCUUCACUGUCUGGGACUCGGAGUCGGCGUGGUUACUUUGAGUAAAUUAGAGUGUUCAAAGCAGGCUUACGCUUUGAAUACAUUAGCAUGGAAUAACGCGAUAGGACUCUGGCCUAUCUUGUUGGUCUGUGGGACCGGAGUAAUGAUUAAGAGGGACAGUCGGGGGCAUUCGUAUUUCAUUGACAGAGGUGAAAUUCUUGGAUUUAUGAAAGACGAACUACUGCGAAAGCAUUUGCCAAGGAUGUUUUCAUUAAUCAAGAACGAAAGU